This 254-nucleotide ribosomal RNA is filed under the name uncultured bacterium. RNAcentral's name for it is "partial 16S ribosomal RNA". It matches the Rfam family "Bacterial small subunit ribosomal RNA", at positions 524 to 777 of the family's 1533-position model. The record is from RNAcentral.
UACGUAGGCAGCGAGCGUUGUUCGGAAUUACUGGGCGUAAAGAGUGUGUAGGCGGUGCUCUAAGUUCGGUGUGAAAUCUCCUGGCUUAACUGGGAGGGUGCGCCGGAAACUGGAGUGCUCGAGCGUGGGAGAGGAAAGCGGAAUUCCUGGUGUAGCGGUGAAAUGCGUAGAUAUCAGGAGGAACACCUGCGGUGUAGACGGCUUUCUGGACCAUUGCUGACGCUGAGACACGAAAGCGUGGGUAGCAAACAGGG